Molecule: ribosomal RNA, 412 nt
Filed under: Drosophila longicornis
Lineage: Eukaryota; Metazoa; Arthropoda; Insecta; Diptera; Drosophilidae
Description: partial 12S ribosomal RNA
Source: RNAcentral
UCAUUCUAGAUACACUUUCCAGUACAUCUACUAUGUUACGACUUAUCUUACCUUAAUAAUAAGAGCGACGGGCGAUGUGUACAUAUUUUAGAGCUAAAAUCAAAUUAUUAAUCUUUAUAAUUUUACAACCAAAUCCACCUUCAAAAAUUUUUUCAUAAUUUUAUCCGUUUAAAUAAAUUUAUUGUAACCCAUUAUUACUUAAAUAUAAGCUACACCUUGAUCUGAUAUAAAUUUUAAUUAAAAUUAUUGAAUAUUAUUAUUCUUAUAAAAUAUUCUGAUAACGACGGUAUAUAAACUGAUUACAAACUUAAGUAAGGUCCAUCGUGGAUUAUCGAUUAAAAAACAGGUUCCUCUGGAUAGACUAAAAUACCGCCAAAUUUUUUAAGUUUCAAGAACAUAUCUAUUACUACUU